CACGCCGUAAACGAUGGAUACUAGCUGUUGGGGGCAACUUCAGUGGCUAAGCGAAAGUGAUAAGUAUCCCACCUGGGGAGUACGAACGCAAGUUUGAAACUCAAAGGAAUUGACGGGGGC
This 120-nucleotide ribosomal RNA is filed under the name uncultured bacterium. RNAcentral's name for it is "partial 16S ribosomal RNA". It matches the Rfam family "Bacterial small subunit ribosomal RNA", at positions 796 to 920 of the family's 1533-position model. The record is from RNAcentral.